This is a long non-coding RNA of Cucumis sativus (cucumber), 449 nucleotides long. RefSeq lists it as uncharacterized. Lineage: Eukaryota; Viridiplantae; Streptophyta; Magnoliopsida; Cucurbitales; Cucurbitaceae. The record is from RefSeq and is a predicted model, not a curated record. The transcript is spliced from 3 exons.
AAUAGAAAGUUAAUUGAAUGAACUAUGUUCCAAUAAUUUCAUGUGGUUCUGGUAAAGCACAGUGCAUCCGGUCGAACUUCCCCCAUUAUGUAAUUUUAUGGAGGUAGUUUUGUAAAUUGGAUUGAAACAGGGGCUAUUCAAUGUGUAUGCAUUAAAAUAUAGGGAUUGUUUUUCAAUUAAAUAUAAAUCGAUUGAGCCUCUGAUGUGCUAGUAAGCAUCAGAUCUCCUCUGUGUAUAUAUAGUUAGGUACUCUUCUUUUUUUUUAUAGGUUCCGUCAUAUAUAUCACGGUCUGAAGUUGUAGCUAAACUUGCUUUCAUCUUCAGUUUCUAUCACUAUUUAAAGGUUUUCAUCAUUAUUCAUUUGGUGGCUAAAUAUUACUCAUGGGACGUUUCUAGAGAAUGCAAGACCAUGUUUGAGUGAGAAAUUGGUCUCGAUGAAAUUGAGAGUU